UCAAAAGUCAAGUCGGGGGCUGCAAAGCCUUCGUCUACACCCAUGUCUUUUUGCGUACUUCUUGUUUCCCUCGGUGGCGCAAGCCGCCGAUUGGACAAAACCAAAACCUUUUUUGUAAUUGCAAUCAGCGUCUGAAAAUAAUCUAAUUAUUUA
This 153-nucleotide unclassified non-coding RNA is filed under the name soil metagenome. RNAcentral describes it as "partial internal transcribed spacer 1". The record is from RNAcentral.